RNAcentral lists this ribosomal RNA (1304 nucleotides) under uncultured prokaryote. RNAcentral describes it as "partial 16S ribosomal RNA". It matches the Rfam family "Bacterial small subunit ribosomal RNA", at positions 28 to 1381 of the family's 1533-position model. The record is from RNAcentral.
AACGAACGCUGGCGGCAGGCUUAACACAUGCAAGUCGAGCGCCCCUUCGGGGGAGCGGCAGACGGGUGAGUAACGCGUGGGAACCUACCCUUGGGUAUGGGAUAACUCCGGGAAACCGGGGCUAAUACCGUAUACGCCCUUCGGGGGAAAGAUUUAUCGCUGUCGGAUGAGCCCGCGUCGGAUUAGCUUGUUGGCGGGGUAACGGCCCACCAAGGCAACGAUCCGUAGCUGGUCUGAGAGGAUGAUCAGCCUCACUGGGACUGAGACACGGCCCAGACUCCUACGGGAGGCAGCAGUGGGGAAUAUUGGACAAUGGGCGCAAGCCUGAUCCAGCCAUGCCGCGUGAGUGAAGAAGGCCCUAGGGUUGUAAAACUCUUUCACCGAUGAAGAUAAUGACGGUAGUCGGAGAAGAAGCCCCGGCUAACUCCGUGCCAGCAGCCGCGGUAAUACGGAUGGGGCUAGCGUUGUUCGGAAUUACUGGGCGUAAAGGGCGCGUAGGCGGAUUAUCAAGUCAGAGGUGAAAGCCCUGGGCUCAACCUGGGAACUGCCUUUGAAACUGAUAGUCUUGAGUCCGAGAGAGGUGAGUGGAAUUCCGAGUGUAGAGGUGAAAUUCGUAGAUAUUCGGAGGAACACCAGUGGCGAAGGCGGCUCACUGGCUCGGUACUGACGCUGAGGCGCGAAAACGUGGGGAGCAAACAGGAUUAGAUCCCCUGGUAGUCCACGCCGUAAACGAUGGAAGCUAGCCGUCGGGCAGUAUACUGUUCGGUGGCGCAGUUAACGCAUUAAGCUUCCCGCCUGGGGAGUACGGCCGCAAGGUUAAAACUCAAAUGAAUUGACGGGGGCCCGCACAAGCGGUGGAGCAUGUGGUUUAAUUCGAAGCUACGCGCAGAACCUUACCAUCCCUUGACAUCCUCAACGCGGAUCGCAGAGAUGCUUUCCUUCAGUGGCUGGUUGAGUGACAGGUGCUGCAUGGCUGUCGGCAGCACCUGUCGUGAGAUGUUGGGUUAAGUCCCGCAACGAGCGCAACCCUCGCCCUUAGUUGCCAUCAUUCAGUUGGGCACUCUAGGGGGACUGCCGGUGAUAAGCCGCGAGGAAGGUGGGGAUGACGUCAAGUCCUCAUGGCCCUUACGGGAUGGGCUACACACGUGCUACAAUGGCAGUGACAGUGGGCAGCAAUGGUGCGAGCCGGAGCUAAUCUCCAAAAACCGUCUCAGUUCGGAUUGCACUCUGCAACUCGGGUGCAUGAAGUUGGAAUCGCUAGUAAUCGCGGAUCAGCACGCCGCGGUGAAUACGUUCCCGGGCCU